CGCGGCCUAUCAGCUUGUUGGUGAGGUAACGGCUCACCAAGGCGAUGACGGGUAGCUGGCGUGAGAGCGCGACCAGCCACACUGGGACUGAGACACGGCCCAGACUCCUACGGGAGGCAGCAGUGGGGAAUAUUGCGCAAUGGGCGAAAGCCUGACGCAGCGACGCCGCGUGGGGGAGGAAGGCCUCAGGGUUGUAAACCCCUGUCAGGUGGGACGAACCCCGAGUCGGAUAAUACCCGGCUCGACUGACGGUACCACCAGAGGAAGCUCCGGCUAACUCCGUGCCAGCAGCCGCGGUAAUACGGAGGGAGCAAGCGUUGUUCGGAAUCACUGGGCGUAAAGGGCGCGUAGGCGGUCGCGUAAGUCGGAUGUGAAAACUCGAGGCUCAACCUCGAGACGCCAUCCGAUACUGCGCUGACUUGAAUCCAGUAGGGGAGUGUGGAAUUCCUGGUGUAGCGGUGAAAUGCGCAGAUAUCAGGAGGAACACCUAUGGCGAAGGCAGCACUCUGGGCUGGUAUUGACGCUGAGGAGCGAAAGCAUGGGUAGCAAACAGGAUUAGAUACCCUGGUAGUCCAUGCCGUAAACGGUGGGCACUAGGUGUGGGGACUUUCAACGGUUUCCGUGCCGAAGCUAACGCAUUAAGUGCCCCGCCUGGGGAGUACGG
Molecule: ribosomal RNA, 664 nt
Filed under: uncultured bacterium
Lineage: Bacteria
Description: bacterial SSU rRNA
Rfam family: Bacterial small subunit ribosomal RNA
Source: RNAcentral